This 465-nucleotide ribosomal RNA is filed under the name uncultured bacterium. RNAcentral describes it as "partial 16S ribosomal RNA". It matches the Rfam family "Bacterial small subunit ribosomal RNA", at positions 28 to 507 of the family's 1533-position model. The record is from RNAcentral.
GACGAACGCUGGCGGCGUGCUUAACACAUGCAAGUCGAACGGAAAGGCCCCUUUGGGGGUACUCGAGUGGCGAACGGGUGAGUAACACGUGAGUAACCUGCCCUUGACUUCGGGAUAACUUCAGGAAACUGGGGCUAAUACCGGAUAGGAAUCCUUGCUGCAUGGUGGGGGUUGGAAAGCUUCGGCGGUUUUGGAUGGACUCGCGGCUUAUCAGCUUGUUGGUGGGGUAGUGGCUUACCAAGGCUUUGACGGGUAGCCGGCCUGAGAGGGCGACCGGCCACAUUGGGACUGAGAUACGGCCCAGACUCCUACGGGAGGCAGCAGUGGGGAAUAUUGCACAAUGGGCGGAAGCCUGAUGCAGCAACGCCGCGUCCGGGAUGACGGCCUUCGGGUUGUAAACCGCUUUCAGCAGGGGCGAAGCUUGUGGUGACGGUACCUGCAGAAGAAGCACCGGCUAACUACGUG